Molecule: ribosomal RNA, 778 nt
Filed under: Enterococcus casseliflavus
Lineage: Bacteria; Bacillati; Bacillota; Bacilli; Lactobacillales; Enterococcaceae
Description: bacterial SSU rRNA
Rfam family: Bacterial small subunit ribosomal RNA
Source: RNAcentral
GACGAACGCUGGCGGCGUGCCUAAUAUAAUGCAGUCGAACGCUUUUUCUUUCACCGGAGCUUGCUCCACCGAAAGAAAAAGAGUGGCGAACGGGUGAGUAACACGUGGGUAACCUGCCCAUCAGAAGGGGAUAACACUUGGAAACAGGUGCUAAUACCGUAUAACACUAUUUUCCGCAUGGAAGAAAGUUGAAAGGCGCUUUUGCGUCACUGAUGGAUGGACCCGCGGUGCAUUAGCUAGUUGGUGAGGUAACGGCUCACCAAGGCAACGAUGCAUAGCCGACCUGAGAGGGUGAUCGGCCACACUGGGACUGAGACACGGCCCAGACUCCUACGGGAGGCAGCAGUAGGGAAUCUUCGGCAAUGGACGAAAGUCUGACCGAGCAACGCCGCGUGAGUGAAGAAGGUUUUCGGAUCGUAAAACUCUGUUGUUAGAGAAGAACAAGGAUGAGAGUAGAACGUUCAUCCCUUGACGGUAUCUAACCAGAAAGCCACGGCUAACUACGUGCCAGCAGCCGCGGUAAUACGUAGGUGGCAAGCGUUGUCCGGAUUUAUUGGGCGUAAAGCGAGCGCAGGCGGUUUCUUAAGUCUGAUGUGAAAGCCCCCGGCUCAACCGGGGAGGGUCAUUGGAAACUGGGAGACUUGAGUGCAGAAGAGGAGAGUGGAAUUCCAUGUGUAGCGGUGAAAUGCGUAGAUAUAUGGAGGAACACCAGUGGCGAAGGCGGCUCUCUGGUCUGUAACUGACGCUGAGGCUCGAAAGCGUGGGGAGCGAACAGGAU